Molecule: ribosomal RNA, 435 nt
Filed under: uncultured bacterium
Lineage: Bacteria
Description: bacterial SSU rRNA
Rfam family: Bacterial small subunit ribosomal RNA
Source: RNAcentral
GCAUAACGCGAAGAACCUUACCUAGACUUGACAUCUCCUGAAUUACUCGUAAUGGAGGAAGCCCUUCGGGGCGAGGAAGACAGGUGGUGCAUGGUUGUCGUCAGCUCGUGUCGUGAGAUGUUGGGUUAAGUCCCGCAACGAGCGCAACCCUUGUUGUUAGUUGCUACCAUUAAGUUGAGCACUCUAACGAGACUGCCGCGGUUAACGCGGAGGAAGGUGGGAUGGACUCAAAUCAUCAUGCCCCUUAUGUCUAGGGCUACGACACGUGCUACAAUGGCCGGUACAGAAAGAUGCAAACCCGUGAGGGGAGCUAAACUCAAAGACCGGUCCCAGUUCGGAUUGUAGGCUGAAACUCGCCUACAUGAAGUUGGAGUUGCUAGUAAUCGCGAAUCAGCAUGUCGCGGUGAAUACGUUCCCGGGUCUUGUACGACACCG